UACAGAGGGGGCAAGCGUUAUUCGGAAUUAUUGGGCGUAAAGGGCGCGUAGGCGGCAUGGCAGGUGGAUGGUGAAAUCCCUCGGCUUAACCGAGGAACUGCCGUCCAAACUGCUUCGCUUGAGACCGGGAGAGGUGAGUGGAAUUCCCAGUGUAGCGGUGAAAUGCGUAGAUAUUGGGAGGAACACCAGUGGCGAAGGCGGCUCACUGGACCGGUACUGACGCUGAUGCGCGAAAGCGUGGGGAGCAAAGCGGG
Molecule: ribosomal RNA, 254 nt
Filed under: uncultured bacterium
Lineage: Bacteria
Description: partial 16S ribosomal RNA
Rfam family: Bacterial small subunit ribosomal RNA
Source: RNAcentral